UGACAGCUCAUAGCGGCCAUCUUGGUAA
RNAcentral lists this small RNA (28 nucleotides) under Bombyx mori (domestic silkworm). RNAcentral's name for it is "ovarian small RNA-31397". Lineage: Eukaryota; Metazoa; Arthropoda; Insecta; Lepidoptera; Bombycidae. The record is from RNAcentral.